RNAcentral lists this ribosomal RNA (638 nucleotides) under Mononchoides composticola. RNAcentral describes it as "SSU rRNA". It matches the Rfam family "Eukaryotic small subunit ribosomal RNA", at positions 80 to 721 of the family's 1831-position model. The record is from RNAcentral. Lineage: Eukaryota; Metazoa; Nematoda; Chromadorea; Rhabditida; Neodiplogasteridae.
GGGGAGUCUUGACGCACGGCUCAUUAAAACAGCUAUAAUCUACUCGAUCUUGAUGUCCUAAACGGAUAACUGCGAUAAUUUUGGAGCUAAUACGUGCACCAAUGCCCGGACUAACGUACGGGCGCACUUAUUAGAUCAAGACCAAUCGGGGCAACCCGUUCUGGUGACUCUGAAUAAUUUCGCUGAUCGCAUGGUCUAGCACCGGCGACGUAUCGUUCGAGUGUCUGCCUUAUCAACUUUCGAUGGAAGUCCAUGUGACUGCCAUGGUUGUUACGGGUAACGGAGAAUAAGGGUUCGACUCCGGAGAGGGAGCCUGAGAAACGGCUACCACAUCCAAGGAAGGCAGCAGGCGCGUAAAUUACCCACUCUCAAUGCGAGGAGGUAGUAACUAUCAAUAACGAGACAGUUCUCUAUGAGGCCUGUUAUCGGAAUGGGUACAAUUUAAACCCUUUAACGAGGAUCUAUGAGAGGGCAAGUCUGGUGCCAGCAGCCGCGGUAAUUCCAGCUCUCAAGGUGUAUAUCGUCAUUGCUGCGGUUAAAAAGCUCGUAGUUGGAUCUGAGUCUGUGGGCGCGGAGCACCAUGUGUGUAACUGUGAUCCCGGACUGAUUUGUUGGUUUUCUGCAGUUUGCCUUCAUCG